RNAcentral lists this ribosomal RNA (447 nucleotides) under uncultured bacterium. RNAcentral describes it as "bacterial SSU rRNA". It matches the Rfam family "Bacterial small subunit ribosomal RNA", at positions 355 to 825 of the family's 1533-position model. The record is from RNAcentral.
UCGGGAAUUUUGGGCAAUGGGCGAAAGCCUGACCCAGCAACGCCGCGUGAAGGAUGAAGUAUUUCGGUAUGUAAACUUCGAAAGAAUAGGAAGAAUAAAUGACGGUACUAUUUAUAAGGUCCGGCUAACUACGUGCCAGCAGCCGCGGUAAUACGUAGGGACCAAGCGUUGUUCGGAUUUACUGGGCGUAGAGGGCGCGUAGGCGGCAAUUCAAGUCAUCUGUGAAAUCUCCGGGCUUAACUCGGAACGGUCAGAUGAUACUGCUUUGCUAGAGUGCAGAAGGGGCAAUCGGAAUUCUUGGUGUAGCGGUGAAAUGCGUAGAUAUCAAGAGGAACACCUGAGGUGAAGACGGGUUGCUGGGCUGACACUGACGCUGAGGCGCGAAAGCCAGGGGAGCAAACGGGAUUAGAUACCCCCGUAGUCCCUGAGCGGGCUGGCAAGGCGCAU